CAAAACUUCCCGGAACACGCAUCUUUAGGCCAGCCGUCAUGCAGGGUCUGGAAGCUAUGAUUCCAGCACGGCGGCUGUGGUGAUGCAUAUUUUGGCAGCCUGGACGUGGCUCUGGUUCAGGCUUACCGGUAUCAGCGGCAUCAGGCUCUGCUGCAGCAGGGAAGACUUGAAGGAACCAUAAUUGAAAAGCUGCUUGGAGACAGAUUUCAAAUAUGGUUGUGGAGAAGUAGGUUGCCAGGCUUUCCCCUCGUGGAGUCUUGAGGACCGUUCCUGCCUACGGCGAGUCCUCAUCCCAUGGCCAGGUCAACCGAGGAAGGAUUAAGGAAGGUGGGUUAUAAAGGGAACAUCGCUUGCGCCAAAAUACAUAGCGAGAAGUUUGCGGGGUCAUACUGAAUAGCGUUCAUGGUAUAGGCCAGCAAAGGCCUAAAGGGGUACCAAGGGGGGUUGCUGCGUACCAUGGCGCGGACAACUUUAGUCAUCCCCUGCCUAGCACUUGCACCCUUAGACACUGCCUGCGAUCGGGGGUCAGGAUAAAUGUUAGCCAUGCGCGCUCACCCCGGUGAGCCACCUACUAUCUAGAGGCCCACGCCGCACACAGCACAGAUAUCGUAACCUUUGGUCAAUUACCUCGGGUGGAAGAGCCAAUUAUGCAGAUGUAAACGUCCCCGAACCCAGUCAUGGCGAGGAGACCCGGGGUUAACCAGAGGUUCAAUACGAAAUGCGUUCGUGCGGAUGGUGCAGGAUGCAGGCAAACUUCGCGCUUCCGUAGGUACAGGAUAGCCAUCGACCACCUCCGCAUUAAACUCCGUCCAACAGCACUCGGGGAGGCACCGGGCGCAGGCGGCUUUUUUGUCCGGUCCAUCUGACUCGAGCGAAAGUUCCACCUAUCCAGUUCAGCGACCCUGUUAGUUGUGACAUGAAGCAUGCACAUGUCGCACGAUGGGGAAUUAUGAUGGGGAAGGCCGACUGGGGGAGUGUGCUGAGUCGAUAAUAAUAAACGGUUGGCGUUGAUUGCAGACAUGCAAGCAUAGAGGAAGUCGCAGAGUCCGGCACGGUGCAGAACCAUCCAAAGCAUAAGCACACUAAGGCCAGAUCCCAGAAGUGCCAAAGCUGCUGGCAGUGAAAAUCUGCUCACGAACAUGUCAAAAUGCAGCAGGUUCGGCGGUGAAAGCGAAGUGUCAAAAGCGAGCGAUACGAGGUGUAGACAGUGCACUAGACGGGACUAAGGCGAGCAAACGAUCGGCAAUGUGCAGCAGUGAAGGUAGGCGCAAGGAUGUGGCGAUGAAGAAUCUCCCAUAGAAAUGCGUGGAGUUGGCAAACAGUCAGUGAUUGUUGCACAAAUAAUGGACACGGUGGAGUACGAUCAGGCUGUUAGGUAGAAAUCCCCGCUGUGCCACGUAGACACGACAUGGUCAAGCUGUUGGCGAGCUGCUGAACUUCAAUUUUUUGGAUCGCUCCACUUGCAUCCAAGUGGGCAUCCGUUCAGGGUUUGGGUUCAUUCCGUCCCUUGACUUUUGGGAUCAUCCAGCUGGAAUUGUUGCGCGUGGAUGAUCUUGUGUGUUUUGGGUUGGACAAGAGGGGGUGUCCUGUUGCGCUCUUGCCAAUAAUAUAUGGGGCUAGAACUAGACGUGUCGUGGAUGUCAUGCACUGGACCAGGCCGGGCCGGGCCCCCAGUUCAGGCCCCAGUUGCUUUCGCAGGCAUUCAACUGACAACUGACCCGACAGCUGGGUCGCGUCUGAUGCCAUCAACAAUUAAAACAUGCGUCUACCCGACGCUUAUACUGCUUUGGACAGUUUUCGACUGACCAGUGGGUCUCCGGCUCGUAAAUGCCCGUAACACUUUGGGAAGGGUAACGCAAGACACGCGCACACGCUACUUGCCAUGGCCGGACGUAGUCGCCGGCAAAAGCGCAAUUGUAAGAACGGACGAUGCCAUGCCGUCAUGAGGAAGAACAAUAGGCGUUAGGUUUUUUCGCAAAAUCCACAACUAUGCACACGCACACGCGGUCAUAAAAAACGGCAACGGCAUAACGCGUAGAAAAAGCCCUGCUGGCGGGCGGGGCCAACCACCUUCCACAGGAGUUGGCCAUUCGGGCGGCACAGCCAAAAUAUAAGUAUCCAACAAGGUUUUGCACGCCCAGGAACUGAACAACAGGAGGCAACCCUCCAUCGCAGCCCAUGGCCGACAAGGUUCAAUAUACGCAAUGUGGCUGUGCGACACUUGGAGCGGUUCCCUGCAUAAAGCCGUCCCACGGGGAUCCUCCGCUAACAAGUGGACCUCUCAUGGGCGGCAGAUCAACACACGGCGUAAUGUGCAUGGAUAUAGUAUCGUUAAACGGAAGACUCCUCGGUACUUGGCGAGAUGCAAAUUCCCCGCUUGCGCAACAUUGAUUUCUAGUCAUAAUGCGAAUCCCCACUAACUCUUCCGUGGCCCGGGACUUGCAACGGCCCGGGCCAAACGGGAGGCAUGGGGCCAAGGGCAACGUGUUGAAGUAAAAGUGGUGCGGUCUUUUAAAACGACGAUUUCGAAGGGGCACAGCAAUUGUGCGAUUCGCCGCUGUAGUGAAGGACGCACAUUCGACCCUCAUGGGCCCAACGCAAGCGUGUGAGCGGCCACACGUUAGAAGUCGAUUGUGCUGCCUCUGGACGAUGUGCAUUCUUCACCGAUCCGCUUCGCCUUUCCCAUCGUAUCGCACACCCUAACUCUCAUUCGCAGCUACUUCCUGGUUCCUGAGCACCGCCUGGAAGCGCCGCCUCAUGGCCAAAUCUAUCCAGGCGGCAAAGCCCGCAGACAUGACAAGCAGACCUGUGGUAGUCGCAGUGACAACGAAAGCGGCAGUUGCUACCCCCAUCGGCUGUCCAAAUUUGCCGAUGUCGCCGUCACGGCCCUGACUGGCGUCGAAGUAUCUGCUCCCAAUGGCCGUCAGAGCCAGCGCAUCCGCAACCCAGCACAGCCGGUAGGCCAGAAAGCGUACAUGAAUGCAAAUAGGCUGCAAUAACACCAGCAACACCGCCGCCGUGCAAACUGCCCACAGCAGCCGGUCUGGCAGAGGCCCAGGCACCUUCCACAUGAAACCGGCUAGCGGCACCAUGGUGGCAAUGUGGAUGAUCCGCACCAGCACCUCGCGCCGCCUGAGGGAGGGGUUCCAAUGAGAAGGCGUGCGAUGUAGCAACGUAAGAAUGACCAAAACAGACUGGGUUUAUUUUCACACGGCUGAAUAUGUGACGUGCAAAGAACCGCAUGAGCGCACGGAAACAGGCACGGGAACGCUUAAUGCUGGCGCUUGCUGCCGUGAUGAUACUGGAAUAGCUGCGAUCUGCGUACAGGGAUGCGUUUUCUCCGCCGUGGCGGUAGGAUGAACAGGAGAGGAAGUGCCGCUGCAGCCAUGAGGAAUGGAGCAGCGUCCUCGAUCCGUUUCCGACUUGGCAAGGAGGAUAAUCGUUGAUUAGCCCGCACUUGAAUUACAUACGAACCCAGUAGCGAAAGGCCUCAAUAGUGAUAAAGGAACUGUCUCCCUCCGCCAUUUUCCGUUUUCCCCAUCCUCUAGGACCCACCGUUGCCGGAUGGUGCCGCCCAUGUCCGUUGCCGCCACCAUGGAGAUCACCGCAGGCAGCGCCAGUAACCCCAAUGCUGCUCCAAUGCCCGCCAACAGGACUAUCGCCAGCAUCCAGUCAGGCCCCCACGAUGAAAUACGCAUGACCCCUUCGCCUUGGAUGCUCUCCGGCGAAGAGCUGCUGCGAUU
Molecule: long non-coding RNA, 3743 nt
Filed under: Volvox carteri
Lineage: Eukaryota; Viridiplantae; Chlorophyta; Chlorophyceae; Chlamydomonadales; Volvocaceae
Description: long non-coding RNA (VCAR_LNC000574)
Source: RNAcentral